UGUAUAAAACGGUCUCAACUCUGUUCAAGUC
RNAcentral lists this non-coding RNA (31 nucleotides) under Mus musculus (house mouse). Lineage: Eukaryota; Metazoa; Chordata; Mammalia; Rodentia; Muridae. The record is from RNAcentral.